CGCUCUCUUGGUCCGGUGUCCCCAAAUUGUGUCCGACUUCUUUUCUCAAGGUUGCAUCAACUUCUGGGGUGCCUUAUCAGCCUAAGUUUGAGGGGUGUCAUUCAUCCACUACCAUUGAUCCCGGACUCGUCCAACCGUUUCUCAUCACUCUGUACACACAGUAGGUCCAAAAGAACAACAAACAAACAAACAAACAAACAUACUAAUAUAAUGAUAACAUAACAAAAAC
RNAcentral lists this long non-coding RNA (229 nucleotides) under Lathyrus oleraceus (garden pea). Its description in RNAcentral is "Pisum sativum (pea) long non-coding RNA (PSAT_LNC042095)". The record is from RNAcentral. Lineage: Eukaryota; Viridiplantae; Streptophyta; Magnoliopsida; Fabales; Fabaceae.